UGAGGGAUAUUGCACAAUGGGGGAAACCCUGAUGCAGCGACGCCGCGUGGGUGAAGAAGGUCUUCGGAUCGUAAAGCCCUUUUCUGCAUGACGAGAAAGGACGGUAGUGCAGGAAUAAGCCUCGGCUAACUACGUGCCAGCAGCCGCGGUAAAACGUAGGAGGCGAGCGUUAUCCGGAGUUACUGGGCGUAAAGCGUGCGUAGGCGGUUUCGUAAGUGGGACGUGAAAGCUCCCGGCUAAACUGGGAGAGGACGACUCAGACUGCGAAACUAGAGGGCGAUAGAGGAGCGCGGAAUUCGGGGUGUAGCGGUGAAAUGUGUAGAGAUCCCGAGGAACACCAGUGGUGCAAACGGCGCUCUGGGUUGCUACUGACGCUGAGGCACGAAAGCUUGGGGAGCGA
This 400-nucleotide ribosomal RNA is filed under the name uncultured bacterium. RNAcentral's name for it is "bacterial SSU rRNA". It matches the Rfam family "Bacterial small subunit ribosomal RNA", at positions 355 to 771 of the family's 1533-position model. The record is from RNAcentral.